RNAcentral lists this ribosomal RNA (466 nucleotides) under uncultured bacterium. Its description in RNAcentral is "partial 16S ribosomal RNA". It matches the Rfam family "Bacterial small subunit ribosomal RNA", at positions 28 to 507 of the family's 1533-position model. The record is from RNAcentral.
GAUGAACGCUGGCGGCGUGCUUAACACAUGCAAGUCGAACGGAAAGGCCACAGCUUUCUGUGUUACUCGAGUGGCGAACGGGUGAGUAACACGUGGGUGAUCUGCCCUGUACUUCGGGAUAAGAUUGGGUAACUGGGUCUACUACCGGAUAGGAAUCACAUGUGGGUGAGUGGUUGGACAGCUUUUGCGGUAUGGGUUGAGCUCGCGGCCUAUCAGCUUGUUGGUGGGGUAAUGGCCUACCAAGGCGUCGACGGGUAGCCGGCCUGGGAGGGUGUACGGCCUCAAUGGGCCUGAGGUACGGCCCAGACUCCUACGGGAGGCAGAAGUGGGGAAUAUUGCACAAUGGGCGCAAGCCUGAUGCAGCGACGCUGCGUGGGGGAUGACGUCCUUCGGGUUAUAAACUCCUUUCGUCAGAGACGAAGCGAAAGUGACGUUACCUGGAUAAGAAGCACCGGCUAACUACGUG